Molecule: non-coding RNA, 23 nt
Filed under: Cricetulus griseus (Chinese hamster)
Lineage: Eukaryota; Metazoa; Chordata; Mammalia; Rodentia; Cricetidae
Source: RNAcentral
UUGGAAGCUGUCCUGGAACUAGU